RNAcentral lists this ribosomal RNA (140 nucleotides) under uncultured Chlorobiota bacterium. Its description in RNAcentral is "uncultured Chlorobi bacterium partial 16S ribosomal RNA". It matches the Rfam family "Bacterial small subunit ribosomal RNA", at positions 388 to 525 of the family's 1533-position model. Lineage: Bacteria; Pseudomonadati; Chlorobiota. The record is from RNAcentral.
CCAGCAACGCCGCGUGGAGGAUGAAGGUCGUAAGAUUGUAAACUCCUGUUAGAGGGGAAGAAUAACUAAGUUUGGAGCUUAGUAUGACUGUACCCUCAGAGAAAGCCCCGGCUAACUACGUGCCAGCAGCCGCGGUAAUA